This 70-nucleotide transfer RNA is filed under the name Loxodonta africana (African savanna elephant). It matches the Rfam family "tRNA". Rfam says of the family: Transfer RNA (tRNA) molecules are approximately 80 nucleotides in length. Their secondary structure includes four short double-helical elements and three loops (D, anti-codon, and T loops). Lineage: Eukaryota; Metazoa; Chordata; Mammalia; Proboscidea; Elephantidae. The record is from Rfam by way of RNAcentral.
GCAUUAGUAAUUCAAUGGUAGAAUUCUCAUUUCCAUGUGAGAGACCUGGGUUUGAUUCCCAGCCAAUGAA